Molecule: transfer RNA, 113 nt
Filed under: Elsinoe australis
Lineage: Eukaryota; Fungi; Ascomycota; Dothideomycetes; Myriangiales; Elsinoaceae
Description: tRNA-Gly
Source: RNAcentral
UGCAUCAGCCGUGAAUCGAACACGGGGCCCAUCGAAUCAGACGUUUCGAAGCGCUUUUAGGCGCUCGCAAACGUUGCUGGCAACGAUGGAUUUUACCACUAAACCACUAAUGC